UACGUAGGUGGCAAGCGUUGUCCGGAUUUACUGGGCGUAAAGAGCUCGUAGGCGGUUCAGUAAGUCGGGUGUGAAAACUCUGGGCUCAACCCAGAGACGCCACCCGAUACUGCUGUGACUUGAGUACGGUAGGGGAGUGGGGAAUUCCUGGUGUAGCGGUGAAAUGCGCAGAUAUCAGGAGGAACACCAGUGGCGAAGGCGCCACUCUGGGCCGUAACUGACGCUGAGGAGCGAAAGCGUGGGUAGCAAACAGG
This 254-nucleotide ribosomal RNA is filed under the name uncultured bacterium. RNAcentral describes it as "partial 16S ribosomal RNA". It matches the Rfam family "Bacterial small subunit ribosomal RNA", at positions 524 to 776 of the family's 1533-position model. The record is from RNAcentral.